Paramuricea clavata is the source of this 897-nucleotide non-coding RNA. The record is from the annotation of a GenBank genome assembly. Lineage: Eukaryota; Metazoa; Cnidaria; Anthozoa; Malacalcyonacea; Plexauridae.
AAAAAGUUCUAAAUUUUCGGUUGCUAACUGCAACCUUCAUCAGAGUACUAAGAGCAGUUCGGAUAGUUCAAGGUUUUUUAAAUAUCGUCAUUAUUGCCACAUGAUUGCACAAGCGAUAAAUACAUGCGUGGGAAUUCUUUGUGUUCGUUAAUUGUUUUAUUGUCUAAUAUUGAAUGCAUCGACUCGAGGAACGUUCGUUUUUCUAAAUUAUGUACUCUUUUCUCUAAGAUUGUAGCAUUGUUAAUAGAGGCAUUGUGUCCUGUGCUUUCUGCGUGGUCUUUGAUUGCUGACUUAAUCUCCGGUCUUACGCCUGGUUUGUGUUCUGCCCAACGUGAUUUCCACGACCUCUUACUUUCUCCAACAUACUUAAAUGAACAAUCUGGACAUUCGAAUUUAUAAACAAUGCCUUUAAUCUCCGUGAUCUUCUGCUUGUCUUUUGGUUUACCAAAAAUGUCCCCUAAGCUUGGCAUGGGUUUAUAUAUUGUCUUAAUACCAGCACUUUUAAGCAGCUGUUUUAUCUGUUCUGAUAUGCCUUUCAUGUAUGGAAUACAAGAUAACCCUUUAAUUUCCGGUUCGUCAUUAGUGCUGGAAAACGACCUGCUGGAACUUGUCUGGAAGAUGAAUUUCUCUGGAUAUCCGUUGAGCUUUAAUUCUUGGAUAACACACUCCUUUUCUUGCUGUUUUUUAUUGUCAGUAGAAGGAAUGCUGUCGGCUCGAUCAAGUAAGGUCUUAACUACGGCUCGCUUACUUUGCGUGGGAUUAUGAGAGUGAAAGGAUAGAUAUUUAUUGGUAUGUGUAUCCUUACGGUAUACACUUACUUCAAUGGUACGGUUUUUAAGAAUGGUAAUGUGGGUAUCAAGGAAAGAAAUUGCUUCACCGUGGUUUGAUUCUGAUGGC